This 216-nucleotide ribosomal RNA is filed under the name Triticum aestivum (bread wheat). RNAcentral describes it as "partial small subunit ribosomal RNA". Lineage: Eukaryota; Viridiplantae; Streptophyta; Magnoliopsida; Poales; Poaceae. The record is from RNAcentral.
AUGGUUAAAGAAGAAAAAGAAGAAAACAGGGGUUCUGUUGAAUUUCAAGUAUUCAGUUUCACCAAUAAGAUACGGAGACUUGCUUCACAUUUGGAAUUACACAAAAAAGAUUUUUCUUCGGAAAGAGGUCUACGAAGACUUUUGGGAAAACGUCGACGUUUGCUGGCUUAUUUGGCAAAGAAAAAUAGAGUACGUUAUAAGAAAUUAAUCGGCUAG